This 211-nucleotide ribosomal RNA is filed under the name uncultured bacterium. RNAcentral describes it as "partial 16S ribosomal RNA". It matches the Rfam family "Bacterial small subunit ribosomal RNA", at positions 1292 to 1500 of the family's 1533-position model. The record is from RNAcentral.
UUCGGAUCGCAGGCUGCAACCCGCCUGCGUGAAGUCGGAAUCGCUAGUAAUCGCGGAUCAGCAUGCCGCGGUGAAUACGUUCCCGGGCCUUGUACACACCGCCCGUCACACCAUGAGAGUCGGGAACACCCGAAGCCCGUAGCCUAACUUUAACGAGAGGGCGCGGUCGAAGGUGGGUUCGAUAAUUGGGGUGAAGUCGUAACAAGGUACC